GUGUCAGCCGCCGCGGUAAUACGAAGGGUGCAAGCGUUAAUCGGAAUUACUGGGCGUAAAGCGUGCGCAGGCGGUUUUGUAAGACAGAUGUGAAAUCCCCGGGCUUAACCUGGGAACUGCGUUUGUGACUGCAAGGCUAGAGUACGGCAGAGGGGGGUGGAAUUCCACGUGUAGCAGUGAAAUGCGUAGAUAUGUGGAGGAACACCGAUGGCGAAGGCAGCCCCCUGGGCCUGUACUGACGCUCAUGCACGAAAGCGUGGGGAGCAAACAGGAUUAGAUACCCUGGUAGUCCACGCCCUAA
RNAcentral lists this ribosomal RNA (301 nucleotides) under uncultured bacterium. RNAcentral's name for it is "bacterial SSU rRNA". It matches the Rfam family "Bacterial small subunit ribosomal RNA", at positions 505 to 805 of the family's 1533-position model. The record is from RNAcentral.